This 392-nucleotide long non-coding RNA is filed under the name Setaria viridis. RNAcentral's name for it is "long non-coding RNA (SVIR_LNC003450)". Lineage: Eukaryota; Viridiplantae; Streptophyta; Magnoliopsida; Poales; Poaceae. The record is from RNAcentral.
UUAAAGCUUAGAUAUUAUUCGAUAAGCGGAACUUACAAAUUGGCUGGAGAUCGUGUCGAUGCAGCCCUGCCAACCUGUACGAACUCAUGAAAAGAAAAAGUUUUGGCGAAGUCACCGACUUGAAAGUAAGUAUAAAGGAAAAGGUAGAUUUGUUGUAUUGAUUGAUAUGUUGUUUACAAGCCUUACGAGGCAACUAUUUAUACCCUAUUACAACUGAUUUCCUAACUGAUUAGGAUCUAUUUCUAAUUUUAAAGAUAAAUAUUUACAAACGUACACAACCCAUACCGGAGUUGGUUAUUAUCUUCCCACGGGCCAAUAUUCUCCUUCAGCUAAUCAUCACCCUGGCCCACUUUAGGCCCAUAUCGGCCCAGCCGCUCCAACUCCCAAUCGGC